This 83-nucleotide small RNA is filed under the name Marmota monax (woodchuck). Lineage: Eukaryota; Metazoa; Chordata; Mammalia; Rodentia; Sciuridae. The record is from RNAcentral.
GCUGGGCAUGGUGGUGCAUGCCUGUAAUCCCAACUGCUCAGGAGGCUGAGGCAGGAGGAUUACAAGUUCAAAGCCCACCUCAG